Molecule: transfer RNA, 76 nt
Filed under: Methanolobus zinderi
Lineage: Archaea; Methanobacteriati; Methanobacteriota; Methanomicrobia; Methanosarcinales; Methanosarcinaceae
Description: tRNA-Gln
Rfam family: tRNA
About the family: Transfer RNA (tRNA) molecules are approximately 80 nucleotides in length. Their secondary structure includes four short double-helical elements and three loops (D, anti-codon, and T loops). Further hydrogen bonds mediate the characteristic L-shaped molecular structure. tRNAs have two regions of fundamental functional importance: the anti-codon, which is responsible for specific mRNA codon recognition, and the 3' end, to which the tRNAs corresponding amino acid is attached (by aminoacyl-tRNA synthetases). tRNAs cope with the degeneracy of the genetic code in two manners: having more than one tRNA (with a specific anti-codon) for a particular amino acid; and 'wobble' base-pairing, i.e. permitting non-standard base-pairing at the 3rd anti-codon position.
Source: RNAcentral
AGUCCCGUAGGGUAGUGGUCAAUCCUUUCGGCCUUUGGAGCCGAAGACCGUGGUUCGAAUCCGCGCGGGACUACCA